This is a long non-coding RNA of Leopardus geoffroyi (Geoffroy's cat), 148 nucleotides long. RefSeq lists it as uncharacterized. The transcript has 2 exons. NCBI's taxonomy places the organism in Eukaryota, Metazoa, Chordata, Mammalia, Carnivora, Felidae. The record is from RefSeq and is a predicted model, not a curated record.
AAAAAUAAAGAAUAUAGGGGCGCCUGGGUGGCUCAGUCAUUAAGCAUCUGACUUUGGCUCAGGUCAUGAUCUCAUAGUUUGCGAGUUUGCGUCCCACAUCGGGUGAACUCGUGCCCUGCUUCAGGUGAACAUGAGCCCCACUUCAGGU